RNAcentral lists this ribosomal RNA (253 nucleotides) under uncultured bacterium. RNAcentral describes it as "partial 16S ribosomal RNA". It matches the Rfam family "Bacterial small subunit ribosomal RNA", at positions 524 to 776 of the family's 1533-position model. The record is from RNAcentral.
UACGAAGGGUGCAAGCGUUACUCGGAAUUACUGGGCGUAAAGCGUGCGUAGGUGGUGAGUUAAGUCUGAUGUGAAAUCCCCGGGCUCAACCUGGGAAUGGCAUUGGAUACUGGCUCGCUAGAGUGCGGUAGAGGGUGGUGGAAUUCCCGGUGUAGCAGUGAAAUGCGUAGAGAUCGGGAGGAACAUCUGUUGCGAAGGCGGCCACCUGGACCAACACUGACACUGAGGCACGAAAGCGUGGGGAGCAAACAGG